RNAcentral lists this long non-coding RNA (2635 nucleotides) under Homo sapiens (human). RNAcentral's name for it is "non-protein coding lnc-ELF1-1:2". Lineage: Eukaryota; Metazoa; Chordata; Mammalia; Primates; Hominidae. The record is from RNAcentral.
UCAGCCUGAUCUAAGGAAGGAGACCACCUCUCUUAUUGUCUCAUACCUCAGAAAAAGAAUGAGGAAGUAAAAGUUAAAGAAAGGCAAAAAUGAGAUCAAUAGACAGCCCAGCACUGCACUUCAGGCCUGGUCUGGUAGUUAAAAAUCAACCCCUGACCUAACCACUUGUAUUAGCUAUAGAUUCCAGACAUUGUAUGAGGAAGCAUUGUGAAACUUUCUGCUCUGUUCUGUUCUGUCUUGAUUACCGAUGCAUGCAGCCCCAGCCACGUACCCCAUGUUUGCUCAAUCGAUCACGACCUUUUCAUGUGGACCUCCUUGGAAUUGUAAGCCCUUAAAAGGGGCAGGAAUUUCUCUCUCAGGGAGCUUGGUUUUUGAGACACAAGUCUGCUGAUGCUCCUGGCCGAAUAAAGCUACUUCCUUUCUCAACCUGGUGUCUGAGGGGUUUUGUCCACAGCUUGUCCUGCUACAUUUCUUGGUUCUCUGACUGGGAAGCGAGGUGAUUAGCAGACAGUCAAGGCAGCCCCUUAGGUGGCUCAGGCCUGCCCUGUGGAGCAUCCCUGCAGGGGACUCCGGCCAGCUUGAGUGACACGGAUCCUGAGAGCACUCCUGGGUAGGCAUUUGCCCCGGUGGAACGCCUCAACAGAGGAGUGCAUGGCAGGCCCCUGCGGAGGAUCAACGCAGUGGCAGAACACCAGAAAGGAACUGGCACUUGGAGUCCGGACAUCUGGAAUAUGGUGAUCAAGUGUGGAUCAAGGAUUGGAAUGUAGUCCCCUUGUGACCACGGUGGAAAGACCCCAGACCGUCAUCUUGACCACCCCCACAGCUGUAAAGGUUGAAGGAAUCCAAGCCUGGAUCCACCACAGCCAUGUGAAACCUGCAGCCUCUGAGACCUGGAAGGUGAGACCAAGCCCAGACAACCCCUGCAAAGUGACUCUGAGAAGGACGACAAGCCCUGCUGCAGUCACACCCAGAAGCUGACUCAUCUAUGCACAGCCAAAGCAUGAGGAAACUCAUCGUGGGACUUAUUCUCCUUAAAAUUUGGACUUAUGUAAUAAGGACUUCCACUGAUUUUCCCCACAUGGAGGACUGUUCCCAAUGUAUUCAUCAGGUCACUGAGUAGGGCAACAAGUUAAAACAGUUUCUGUUUUAUAGUUAUUAUUGUUGCGGGACAAUCAAAGAUGGGAGAGACCAAACAAAGUGAGUUCAGGAAAGGUCUUUAUUAAAAGAUGAUCACUUGGCUCAGUAGGAUUAGUGUACAGGAAAGUCUGAGCCCUGGACAAAGAAAGCAGCCACCUUUUAAGCAGUCAGUGGCUGGGAGCUACGUGAUGCAGGAAGCACACUUAGAGAAGCAAGAACAAAGGCAGUUGAUCAGUCUUUUACAUUUAUCUAUAUUACAUGUUCCAAAUCCUUGGGAAACCAUGUUUCUGUAUAAACCUUGUAACUUUGCAGCUGCACGGGGGAGGUGAAGCAGAAACUCGCUGAGCCUCAAGGAAUGUGAAACUAGCAAGUACAGAUAAGGCUCAAAUGUAUUACAUGAAUCAUUAUCAAUCUGUCUUGCAGGAAGACCUAGGUAGUGAAGAUGAAAGUGAGAACUCCCACUAAUAAGUGAGAUUCUCAAAGGGGGGGAAUGAGGAAGGAGACCACCUCUCUUAUUGUUUCAUACCUCAGAAAAAGAAGGAAGAAAUAAGUUAAAGAAGGCAAAAAUGAGAUAAAUAGUCAGGCAGCCUGGCCCCGCACCCCAGGCCUGGUCUGCUAAUUAAAUAUCAACCCCUGACUAACUGCUUGUACUAUCUAUAGAUUCCAGACAUUGUAUGAGGAAGCAUUGUGAAACUUUCUGUUCUGUUCUGUCUUAACUACCAAUGCAUGGGGCCCCAGCCAUGUACCCCAUGCUUGCUCAAUUGAUCACAACCCUUUCACGUGGACCCCCUUAGAACUGUAAGCCCUUAAAAGGGGCAGGAAUUUCCCUCUUGGGGAGCUCAGUUUUUGAGAUGCAGGUCUGCUGACGUUCCUGGCCAAAUAAAGCUACCUCUUCCCUCAACCCAGUGUCUGAGGGGUUUUGGCCAUGGCUUAUCCUGCUACAGAUCCAACUCUGUGUUCCUUCCACCAUUAUCCCAUAACCUUAAUAUCCAUUCCCAUGCCUGUUCUCCAGAUUGCUGUUUAUAUAAAUCAGAGAACUCCAACAGUUCAAGUAUAGUGCACUUCCUCAUGGGUCACACUCUCAACCUCAUCCUUAGGGGGCCACCAGGACUUUAGUUAUAGGUUUAGAAGCAAACAGGUGUUGGGGGUGGCCUCUGAGGAGACUCAACAUUAUCUUGCCUGGCAACUGGCUCAGGGGAGGACAUCACUGUUGCUGCAGGCAGCAUAGGGUUUUUCUCCUUGGACAAAGGUGGAAAGACUGAUAACAGCAUAGGUCAGGGAGGGGAUGUUGCCACUACUGGGGAUGGGGAAGCUGUUUCUUCUGGCAAAAAAGGUUCACCGGAGUUUACAAACUCAGUGUCCUCAGCUUCAUCAGGGUCCUCCCACAUGUCCCCAUUCCAAGUUGCCAGGUCGCAUGCUUUUCCAACAAAUGCCCUCACUUUAACAGUAGACACCUGGUGAGGCUGUGCAUGCAUCUUUCAUUGCUGGUCAGCCACUC